UAUACGCCUACCAUGGUAGUAACGGGUAACGGAGAAUAAGGGUUCGACUCCGGAGAGGGAGCCUGAGAAACGGCUACCACAUCCAAGGAAGGCAGCAGGCGCGCAAAUUACCCACUUCCAGAACGGAGAGGUAGUGACGAAAAAUAACGAGACAGUCCUCUUCGAGGUCUGUCAUCGGAAUGGGUACAAUUUAAAUCCUAAAUUCGAGUCGUCUCUAGGUGCUCUUUACCGAGUGCUUAGAGUGACUAGAACGUUUACUUUGAAAAAAUUAGAGUGCUUAAAGCAGGCGAAAUAGCCUGAAUAAGGUGCAUGGAAUAAUGGAAUAGGACCUCGGUUCUAUUUUGUUGGUUUUCGGAACCCGAGGUAAUGAUUAAGAGGAACAGACGGGGGCAUUCGUAUUCCGGCGCUAGAGGUGAAAUUCUUGGACCGCCGGAAGACGGACGACUGCGAAAGCAUUUGCCAAGAAUGUUUUCAUUAAUCAAGAACGAAAGUUAGAGGUUCGAAGGCGAUCAGAUACCGCCCUAGUUCUAACCGUAAACGAUGACAACCAGCGAUUAAUCGGCGUUAAUAUAUGACCCGAUUAGCAGCUUCCGGGAAACCAAAGUUUUUCGUUUCCGGGGGAAGUAUGGUUGCAAAGCUGAAACUUAAAGGAAUUGACGGAAGGGCACCACCAGGAGUGGAGCCUGCGGCUUAAUUUGACCCAACACGGGAAAACUCACCCGGCCCGGACACCGUAAGGAUUGACAGACUGAGGGCUCUUUCUUAAUUCGGUGGGUGGUGGUGCAUGGCCGUUCUUAGUUGGUGGAGCGAUUUGUCUGGUUAAUUCCGAUAACGAUCGAGACUCUGGCCUAUUAAAUAGACGAUAUAUUUAAAAGUAUAUCGCGCUUCUUAGAGGGACAAGCGGCGUCUAGCCGCAUGAAAUAGAGCAAUAACAGGUCUGUGAUGCCCUUAGAUGUCCGGGGCUGCACGCGCGCUACACUGAAAGAAUCAGAGUGCGUUAUGCCUAGUUCGGAAGAACCGGGUAACCCAAGUAAAUUCUUUCGUGCUUGGGAUAGGGAAUUGCAAUUAUUUCCCUUAAACGAGGAAUUCCCAGUAAAUGCGGGUCAUAAGCUCGCGUUGAUUACGUCCCUGCCCUUUGUACACACCGCCCGUCGCUACUACCGAUUGGAUGACUUAGUGAGGUCUUAGGACCGAGGUAAAGGUGCUUGUAAUGAGUGCUUUUGCUUUGGAAAUUUGAUCGAACUACGUUAUCUAGAGGAAGUAAAAGUCGUAACAAGGUU
This 1280-nucleotide ribosomal RNA is filed under the name metagenome. Its description in RNAcentral is "SSU rRNA". It matches the Rfam family "Eukaryotic small subunit ribosomal RNA", at positions 334 to 1801 of the family's 1831-position model. The record is from RNAcentral.